UUGAAGACCUUAGUUUCGGAUAUGUAAUAUUAUUUGGAGAAUAGGUUGUCGUUGAAAUUUUUACACUGCUACUUGACUCUUGAUUCUUGAGGAUUAUGCUAUUAGACUUCUAACAGACUGUUAAGUUUUAGAUAAAAUGAGAAAUGCUUUUAUUGUAAUUAUCUACAUUUCUAAAUGCACUUUCAACAUUGGCCCCUCUACCAUCCCCAACUAUCGUUUCUUGCCGAGGCUCAGUUUAAAUGAAUAAUAAGAAAAGGGAUCUUCUGUUAUUAUUUGAAAAUCCUCAAUCUUUGGUUAUUGAACUUGUGGGAAAUAAGUUACAACUUUUUUAUCCAUCUUUUCUUUUAUUGUUUAAAAUGAGAAAUAGCACAUAAACAACCUUUGGGUUGCCUUGAAAUAUGUUCUUUAUUGUCUGAAGAUGAAACCCCUACACAGCUACAAUCUUUGGAUGGCUUCAAUGAUUUUCCACAAAUUUACAAAUGACUAGGAGAUUAAUGUGGAUUUGGUUUAAUAUUAAAAGUACUCUAUAAAUUUGAUGUUUAACUCAUUUCCCUUCAUCUAUAUUUGCUCGGUGGGGGACAUCAAUGAUUAGCAUGUCAGCUAUAGACUUCUACUGCUCGGUUGACAAAGUCAAAGGUGUGGACGGAAAGGAUCGUGUUGUUGUGACAUUUGAUGGGAAGUAUUUGCCAUAUACUGAGCAGCUAUCUGAGCAUAUGGUAUCAAGAAAGUAAGAGAACUAAAAUCAUUGAGGCAAUUCAAACCAGAGUAACUGUCCCUUACACAUUGUAUGCAAUAAUGCAAGUAUAUUGCUUUGUGGGUUUGCGAAUAAGAGUGGCAUUAUAUCUAUAUUGUAAUUCAAAGAAUAUAAAUACGCAUUAUACUGUAUGCUUACUUAUCGGAUGGACAAUAAGAUACUUGAAUUGGGUUCUUUUA
Molecule: long non-coding RNA, 933 nt
Organism: Olea europaea var. sylvestris
Lineage: Eukaryota; Viridiplantae; Streptophyta; Magnoliopsida; Lamiales; Oleaceae
Exons: 2
Source: RefSeq, a predicted model, not a curated record